AACAUAUUACCGAAGCUGUGGAUUGUCCUUUGGACAAUGGUAGGAGAGCGUUCUAAGGGCGUUGAAGCAUGAUCGUAAGGACAUGUGGAGCGCUUAGAAGUGAGAAUGCCGGUGUGAGUAGCGAAAGACGGGUGAGAAUCCCGUCCACCGAUUGACUAAGGUUUCCAGAGGAAGGCUCGUCCGCUCUGGGUUAGUCGGGUCCUAAGCUGAGGCCGACAGGCGUAGGCGAUGGAUAACAGGUUG
This 243-nucleotide ribosomal RNA is filed under the name Staphylococcus aureus. RNAcentral's name for it is "partial 23S ribosomal RNA". It matches the Rfam family "Bacterial large subunit ribosomal RNA", at positions 1185 to 1432 of the family's 2925-position model. The record is from RNAcentral. Lineage: Bacteria; Bacillati; Bacillota; Bacilli; Caryophanales; Staphylococcaceae.